Molecule: ribosomal RNA, 768 nt
Filed under: uncultured bacterium
Lineage: Bacteria
Description: bacterial SSU rRNA
Rfam family: Bacterial small subunit ribosomal RNA
Source: RNAcentral
CGCUGGCGGCGUGCUUACACAUGCAAGUCGAGCGGANUACCCAACGGNAAGUUUUCGGACGGAAGAUGGAAUUACUUAGCGGCGGACGGGUGAGUAACGCGUGGGCAACCUGCCCUGUACAGAGGAAUAACAUUGGGAAACCAGUGCUAAUACCUCAUAUACCCUUCGGGUGGCAUCACCUGAAGGGGAAAGAUUUAUCGGUACAGGAUGGGCCCGCGUCUGAUUAGUUAGUUGGUGAGGUAACGGCUCACCAAGACGAUGAUCAGUAGCCGACCUGAGAGGGUGAUCGGCCACACUGGAACUGAGACACGGUCCAGACUCCUACGGGAGGCAGCAGUGGGGAAUAUUGCACAAUGGGGGAAACCCUGAUGCAGCAACGCCGCGUGAGCGAUGAAGGCCUUCGGGUCGUAAAGCUCUGUCCUAAGGGAAGAUUUAGACGGUACCUUAGGAGGAAGCCCCGGCUAACUACGUGCCAGCAGCCGCGGUAAUACGUAGGGGGCAAGCGUUAUCCGGAAUUACUGGGCGUAAAGGGUGCGUAGGCGGUCUAAUAAGUCAGAGGUGAAAGACUAUUGCUCAACGAUAGCAAGCCUUUGAAACUAUUGGACUUGAGUGCAGGAGAGGAGAGUGGAAUUUCUAGUGUAGCGGUGAAAUGCGUAGAUAUUAGAAGGAACACCCAGUGGCGAAGGCGACUCUCUGGACUGCAACUGACGCUGAGGCACGAAAGCGUGGGGAGCAAACAGGAUUAGAUACCCUGGUAGUCCACGCCGU